CAACAUCCAAGUUUAAUGGAAGAAAGAAAACGCAAACCACCUGAUUAAAUCUGAAGAAAAGGAGAGAAGUGGAAGACUUGCAUAAAGAUUUUAGCUCUAAAAUGCAGAAAUAAUACAGGUAUGACAACGUAUCUUCUAUGAGCUUCCCUUGUAUGAAAUAAAUUAAUGCUUUACUAGAAGUUCCAAUCCUGUAAUAUCCGGAUGUUUCUCUUUCAUCUCUGUUGGGGCUGCUGAUGACUUAUGAGUGGCCCUGACUGAUCUUCUGGUCUUGAGGGGCCACCCUGAAACACAGUUUCUUUUCUUCUCCCACAUUUGGGCUGAUAAGCCAACUAUCUGGUACUUCUUUUCCACUUCCACACACGCCUCUCUGCCUGUCAGCUGCCUCCCCAGCUCUCCCCAUCUUCAUUCAUUUCCUUUCUCGUGUCCUGGCUCAUGAUCCUCACCUCGCACUCCAAAUGCAGCUGAGUUUAUUUUCUUCAUAACCACCGCUGCUGGACUUGUUUCCCAUCACCAUAGCCAAGUCACUGGUAAUGUAGUCGUGUGAUUGCAGACUUAUGUACCAGGCUCAGCAGGAAACUUUUAACUUUUUUCUUAGCCUUAUCCUCUGUUCCCCCUGAAAACUUAUAUAUACUUUUGUUAUGCAAAAAGCAUAAACUGAAAGGUAUGGUAACCCACUUCUGCACAUUCAGCCACUGGUUUGGUAUUUAUUAUGAUAUAGCAUUUCCCAAUUUUAGGCUUUGUGUUUGCACAGAUUCUCUGUGUAUAGAUGCUUUGGUCCUGGGCUGUGGUUUCCCUCUCUGAACUAUAUGGUAGUUUAAGGCCUCACCUUGCUAUUGCACAAAUUGUAUGUUUUUGGAGGUGUUUGUUUGUUGUCUUAACUGUAGUUGCAAGAGACAAAGGAGACGAAACAGGAUGAGAAACCAUGCUGCCCUAGGGAUAUCUGUCUCUGGAAGAUGGUUGAUGAAGAUGCACUGUAAAAAAAAAAGACCGGACUGCUAACCAUUUCCACUGGAUUCUGCGCUGGGAAGGAAUCCCCCAAGUGACUAUAUAUCCCUACAACUAGAGCUGUUUUCCUUCUGCGCUGGGGAAAUUUGAAGAGAAUAUCAGCAAGAUAAGUGCUGCUGGUAGCAAGGCCACCAAUACCAAGGUAGUAGGCAACUACAGGGCGAGAGAGGGGCAGUAACCCUGUGGGCUUCUGUCAGCUGGAAAGCUGGUUCUAAGGGAGACAGGACUGUAUCUGCUUUUCCUCCCCUGAUGCUCUCCUGCAAGGAAAAGGAAACUGUGAACUGCAGCUUGCAAAAGUUUCUUUUUGCAGGUUAUGUCUGAAAGACAGCUCUAACAAUGUCACAAUCAAGGGUGGAACAUGGGCUGCAAAAUAUUCAGUUUACCUUGUGGAGCUCAGGCUGGCAAGAGGAACACUAUCGCACUUGUAGAAAGUUCAGAUUUAACCUAUGGUUUGAUCUGUGCUCUUCUUGACAGGUGAAGUUUGAUCACUGUGAAGUGCAUUUUAUGAAUUUCUACAAAGAUUAGCAGAAAAGUUUUAUAUUUAUCAAGGCAACUUUCCAGCAGGCAUUGCUGAAAUGAUGGUAGUAUGAUCACUUAAUCUUAUCAUUUACUUUACCUGAAAACUAAAAUACUCAGAUGAAAUUAUAAAAGCAGUAGGGGGAUAUCAUCUUUUUUUAUUGCACAGCUUGAAUGCUUCUAGCAGGAUAUGAACAGCAUGUGACAAUUCAGCCUGGUAACAACUUUGUACAUAGAUCCAUAGAACAGAUUACUUCAGUUUUUACAAAAGUUACAAGUACUAUAGAGAGAUAGUGGGAUCAUGGUUUGUAAACCUUAAACCACACUUUCCUGCACGACAAUCUGCAAAGAGGAUGUUCUUUUUUGUAAAGUGAGUAUGUGUUGUGCAGCCGCAAGAAGCUUCCCCUUUCUUCAGAAGGACUACAUAAAUGUUACUUCUGAGAUUGCGCAUCCUGCAGUUACCUUGUAGUUUGCACUU
This 1999-nucleotide long non-coding RNA is filed under the name Struthio camelus australis. Its description in RNAcentral is "lncRNA (ENSSCUG00000017939.1)". The record is from RNAcentral. Lineage: Eukaryota; Metazoa; Chordata; Aves; Struthioniformes; Struthionidae.